CCUACGGGCGGCUGCAGUGGGGAAUAUUGCACAAUGGGCGCAAGCCUGAUGCAGCCAUGCCGCGUGUGUGAAGAAGGCCUUCGGGUUGUAAAGCACUUUCAGCGGGGAGGAAGGCGGCGAGGUUAAUAACCUCAUCGAUUGACGUUACCCGCAGAAGAAGCACCGGCUAACUCCGUGCCAGCAGCCGCGGUAAUACGGAGGGUGCAAGCGUUAAUCGGAAUUACUGGGCGUAAAGCGCACGCAGGCGGUCUGUCAAGUCGGAUGUGAAAUCCCCGGGCUCAACCUGGGAACUGCAUUCGAAACUGGCAGGCUAGAGUCUUGUAGAGGGGGGUAGAAUUCCAGGUGUAGCGGUGAAAUGCGUAGAGAUCUGGAGGAAUACCGGUGGCGAAGGCGGCCCCCUGGACAAAGACUGACGCUCAGGUGCGAAAGCGUGGGGAGCAAACAGGAUUAGAUACCCUUGUAGUC
RNAcentral lists this ribosomal RNA (465 nucleotides) under uncultured Klebsiella sp. RNAcentral's name for it is "bacterial SSU rRNA". It matches the Rfam family "Bacterial small subunit ribosomal RNA", at positions 338 to 795 of the family's 1533-position model. Lineage: Bacteria; Pseudomonadati; Pseudomonadota; Gammaproteobacteria; Enterobacterales; Enterobacteriaceae. The record is from RNAcentral.